RNAcentral lists this ribosomal RNA (161 nucleotides) under Limacella glischra. Its description in RNAcentral is "5.8S ribosomal RNA". It matches the Rfam family "5.8S ribosomal RNA". Rfam says of the family: 5.8S ribosomal RNA (5.8S rRNA) is a component of the large subunit of the eukaryotic ribosome. It is transcribed by RNA polymerase I as part of the 45S precursor that also contains 18S and 28S rRNA. Functionally, it is thought that 5.8S rRNA may be involved in ribosome translocation. Lineage: Eukaryota; Fungi; Basidiomycota; Agaricomycetes; Agaricales; Amanitaceae. The record is from RNAcentral.
ACAACUUUCAACAAUGGAUCUCUUGGCUCUCGCAUCGAUGAAGAACGCAGCGAAAUGCGAUAAGUAAUGUGAAUUGCAGAAUUCAGUGAAUCAUCGAAUCUUUGAACGCACCUUGCGCUCCUUGGUAUUCUGAGGAGCAUGCCUGUUUGAGUGUCAUUAAA